CUUUCUCUUUUUAUUCAUUUUUUUAGGAGGAGUAUGUAUUGAUAUGUAUUGACAUGUAUUGACAUCCUUCUAUUUUUUUCAUUCAUUUUUUUCUUUUCUAUUUUCUUUUGCUAUUUUUCUUUUCCUUUUAUGCCAACUUCAGAAAUAUUACAAACAUAAUUAUUCAACCCCACACAACUCCAAACAGGACUCUUUCAACCCUUUGAAUAGGGUGAUAACAUUGUUUUUCACUUCUCGGCUUGUAAUGAGUUUUAAACAAAAAAAAAGGAUAAUAGGCUCAAGGGAGUUUCAAAGAAGGGAUGAAAUUAUUUCAGGGUUGACUUUUUGGCUAACUGGCAAAAAAAACAAAAAACUGCAUUUAUCAUAUCAGUGUGCACAAGUAAACAACAGCAUCAACAAGAGUCAAUUCAAGUUCUAGAGACUAACAGACAUGAGUGAAUCACACAAGAAAGAAAGAGAUGAAUU
This 465-nucleotide long non-coding RNA is filed under the name Lathyrus oleraceus (garden pea). Its description in RNAcentral is "Pisum sativum (pea) long non-coding RNA (PSAT_LNC022800)". Lineage: Eukaryota; Viridiplantae; Streptophyta; Magnoliopsida; Fabales; Fabaceae. The record is from RNAcentral.